GUGCUGGCCAGUGGGAUAAAAUUUGUUCAAACCAUUUUAAAUCACAGGAUUAUUAUGUACAUGGUUCAAAAAAAAAUUAGUAUAUGAUGCAGUACCAACUCAAGAUGUUUUGAAAAAUAAAGAUGAAAAUGAUUCAAAUCAGAUUCAAUCACCAAAAACACCACUGUAUCAAUCUAAAAGGAAACUAUUUUCUAGCUCAUCUGUGUCCCUUAGAAAAGUAUUCUGUUCUUCGUCAAGAUUUGGUGACUUGACUGAAAUAGAUUUUAGUACUCCUCGAAGAUCGAAAAAAAAUUUUCAAUUUGUCCAAAC
Long non-coding RNA from Aphis gossypii (cotton aphid), 309 nucleotides. RefSeq lists it as uncharacterized. NCBI's taxonomy places the organism in Eukaryota, Metazoa, Arthropoda, Insecta, Hemiptera, Aphididae. The transcript is spliced from 3 exons. The record is from RefSeq and is a predicted model, not a curated record.